UACGUAGGGGGCAAGCGUUGUCCGGAUUUAUUGGGCGUAAAGAGCGUGUAGGCGGCUAGGUAGGUCCGUUGUGAAAACUCGAGGCUCAACCUCGAGACGUCGAUGGAAACCAUCUAGCUAGAGUCCGGAAGAGGCGAGUGGAAUUCCCGGUGUAGCGGUGAAAUGCGCAGAUAUCGGGAGGAACACCAAUGGCGAAGGCAGCUCGCUGGGACGUUACUGACGCUGAGACGCGAAAGCGUGGGGAGCAAACAGG
This 253-nucleotide ribosomal RNA is filed under the name uncultured bacterium. RNAcentral's name for it is "partial 16S ribosomal RNA". It matches the Rfam family "Bacterial small subunit ribosomal RNA", at positions 524 to 776 of the family's 1533-position model. The record is from RNAcentral.